AAAAAACUAAAAGAAAUCCUCUGAAAGUUCCCCAGCCCUCUGAGCUUCGGCCCUAGGCCGGUUUGCUCCGUUCAUCGUGCCUCCGUGCCCAGCCUCACGCGCCAUCGCCGACUUCGCCGUACACGACGGUCGGGAUCUGAAAAAAUUCGUUUUUCUCAGCCAAUCUAAAAGGUAUAUUUCUCUCAUCUAUUUUGAUGUAUUAUAUGCAAGUUGUUUGUAAUAAAGUAAUGAAAUAAAAAUAGUUAUGAUAGGUCACCUUUGCUUCUCUCGAAAACCUUCUGAUAUAUUAUUCAAGAAUACUCGGUGUACAAUAUCUUUUGUGGUGUGCUUCUCCCUAUGUCUCUGUAUUUUUCUCUAUAUAUCUUAUGUGUGUAUUCUCUCUGCUAUUGUGUAUCUCUGUCAACCUAUGUCUUUACAGAUUUGCGAAAGGCUUUAUAGCCUUAAACGACUGCCUAUUUUGGAAAGAAAUCGAAGGAUUUCCUUCCAUUUCCUGUUCUAGUAUAUCUGCUUCCUUUUUUGCUUUGGUUUCUUUCCUUUUCUUGCAGGUAACUUGCGAGGAUCUCGCUGAUGGAAGGGUUGAUGGCGUUGAUAGAGGCCUGAAGUCUGGUGGUGAGGAUUCGUGGUGACGGUGAGGCGCUGAUUACGGAGGCAAAGCCUUGAAUGGUGGCCUCGAUUCAGGAGCUGGACAGACGCUCCCUGAACCUUCCAGAACCUGUUGCGGUGCGAGGAGAAAGAGCUAGGGUUGGAAACCCUAGCUGGUAAUUUUAGGUUUGGGGCCUCUAUUAUUUGGGUCUGGUUUAGUCCUGGGCUAGGUAGGGUGUAACCGGUCUGUUUGAAUGUGUGUAUAACGGGUCUGGGUUAUUUUAGGUUUGCUGUAACGGGUCUGAGGUAUUUGGCCUUGUGUUUAGGCUCUUGUAAGGACUUUAUAUAGACUGUUAAAUAAAUAAACAUUUAUUCA
This 958-nucleotide long non-coding RNA is filed under the name Gossypium barbadense (sea-island cotton). RNAcentral describes it as "long non-coding RNA (GBAR_LNC009548)". The record is from RNAcentral. Lineage: Eukaryota; Viridiplantae; Streptophyta; Magnoliopsida; Malvales; Malvaceae.